AUUUGAUGAUGGGGGCAGCUUGCACAUAAUUUCUUGAAACAUUCCCAAUAUUCAUGUAGGGAGUCUCCAUUGUGUUGCCUUACACCACAAAUUUCUUUUCGGAUAUU
The sequence is a small nucleolar RNA, 107 nucleotides long. It matches the Rfam family "Plant small nucleolar RNA R71". Rfam says of the family: R71 is a member of the C/D box family of snoRNAs containing the C (UGAUGA) and D (CUGA) box motifs. Multiple nearly identical copies of this snoRNA have been identified in Arabidopsis, and it is thought to function as a 2'-O-ribose methylation guide for 18S ribosomal RNA. The record is from Rfam.